This 378-nucleotide ribosomal RNA is filed under the name uncultured Chloroflexota bacterium. RNAcentral describes it as "bacterial SSU rRNA". It matches the Rfam family "Bacterial small subunit ribosomal RNA", at positions 521 to 896 of the family's 1533-position model. Lineage: Bacteria; Bacillati; Chloroflexota. The record is from RNAcentral.
UAAAACGUAGGAGGCAAGCGUUAUCCGGAUUUACUGGGCGUAAAGCGCGCGCAGGCGGCUCUGUAAGUCGGACGUGAAAGCCCCCGGCUCAACUGGGGGAGGCCGCUCGAUACUGCAGGGCUUGAGGUCGGGAGAGGGAAGUGGAAUUCCCGGUGUAGUGGUGAAAUGCGUAGAUAUCGGGAGGAACACCAGUGGCGAAGGCGGCUUCCUGGCCCGCACCUGACGCUAAGGCGCGAAAGCGUGGGUAGCGAACGGGAUUAGAUACCCCGGUAGUCCACGCCCUAAACGAUGGCAACUAGGUGUUGGGGGCUAUUGACCCCCUCAGUGCCGAAGCUAACGCGAUAAGUUGCCCGCCUGAGGACUACGAGCGCAAGCUUA